GAUGAACGCUGGCGGCGUGCCUAAUACAUGCAAGUCGAGCGAACAGACGAGGAGCUUGCUCCUCUGACGUUAGCGGCGGACGGGUGAGUAACACGUGGAUAACCUACCUAUAAGACUGGGAUAACUUCGGGAAACCGGAGCUAAUACCGGAUAAUAUAUUGAACCGCAUGGUUCAAUAGUGAAAGACGGUUUUGCUGUCACUUAUAGAUGGAUCCGCGCCGCAUUAGCUAGUUGGUAAGGUAACGGCUCACCAAGGCAACGAUGCGUAGCCGACCUGAGAGGGUGAUCGGCCACACGGGAACUGAGACACGGUCCAGACUCCUACGGGAGGCAGCAGUAGGGAAUCUUCCGCAAUGGGCGAAAGCCUGACGGAGCAACGCCGCGUGAGUGAUGAAGGUCUUCGGAUCGUAAAACUCUGUUAUUAGGGAAGAACAAAUGUGUAAGUAACUAUGCACGUCUUGACGGUACCUAAUCAGAAAGCCACGGCUAACUACGUG
Molecule: ribosomal RNA, 497 nt
Filed under: uncultured bacterium
Lineage: Bacteria
Description: partial 16S ribosomal RNA
Rfam family: Bacterial small subunit ribosomal RNA
Source: RNAcentral